This 346-nucleotide non-coding RNA is filed under the name uncultured fungus. Lineage: Eukaryota; Fungi. RNAcentral also lists the same sequence under 1 other name. The record is from RNAcentral.
AGAGUUAAACAGUACGUGAAAUUGUCAAAAGGGAAACGCUUGAAACCAGUAUUGCUUGCAUGAAAUCAUCCGUUCCGUAAGGUGCGGUGCACUUUUGUGUAGGCAGGUCAACAUGAGUUUUCUGUGCGGUAAAAAGCCUUGGGAAGGUAGCGCUUACUUCGGUGGGCGUGUUAUAGCCCAAGGAAAUGCCGGGUGGAAGACUGAGGACUGCAGUGGAUCUUGUUAGCCACCUAGCUGCCAUUGAAAACGUUGCUUUGAACAUCUUGAUGAUCUUAACAGCGCCUAGGUGUCAGCUAGAAUGGCCUGCAAUCUGCUUUGGAUGCUGACGAAAUGGUUUUAAACGACC